Doryrhamphus excisus (bluestripe pipefish) is the source of this 913-nucleotide non-coding RNA. Lineage: Eukaryota; Metazoa; Chordata; Actinopteri; Syngnathiformes; Syngnathidae. The record is from RefSeq and is a predicted model, not a curated record.
UCCUCCUGCGUCACCUUGUGCAACGUGACUGUGGCUCCCUCGAUGCUGGCCCGCCCCUCGUACGGACCUGAGAGCAAGGAAAGAUUGAAGCAACUCAAUGAUGCAGCGGUGAAUUAACUGUACAAGAGUCGGCUUGACUGGACCAGCGUUCAAAGAACGACCACUAAAGGAAACAGAACAAGAAUGAAAGAAACAUACUCCUUUACCUGCAGCUGCACUGGCAGUGAGAGGCCCUGUGCUCGGCGGUGCAGGCCCCAAGGCCCUGAGCCCAAAUUGUGGAGAGCCGUCACCUCAUACUGGGAGCACAGACCUGUUCUGGCCACCAGGGGGCCCCCACUCAAUACGACAUGGUCCCCGCAUCUAAGGAACAGGAAUACAGAGGUAACAUAUUAGGCUGAUGACUGACAUUUUGGGUUGAGUGUGUCUGGCCCGGCUAUUCUUUGGGUACGGAUAAUUAGCCUUCUAUUUGCCAAUAUACACUGGGAAGAAAAAGUAUGUGAACCCUUUGGAAUUCCUUUAAUGUCUGUGUAAAUUGGUGAUAAAAUGUAGUCUGAUCAUUGAAAUCACAAUAAUAAACAGUCUGCUUAAACUAAUACUACACAAACAACUAUGUCAACAUUCACAGCCCUCGGAUUUAAUCAUGGGUUGAUCAGAUCACACAGAUGCAACUUUCCUCUUUAUCAUUCCGAUAACUCCGUGGUAAGAUGCCUAAAUCUAUAACAAAAGUUAUCCAUUCAUUUGUAGCGGCUUAUGUAGAAAAAAAGGCAGCUGUUUUGAUGGCUUUGCUUCACCUUUUGAAAUCUACUAUGGAAAUGAAAACAAAUCUUAGUGUCUGUCUAUGCUAUGUUUUUUUACUUGUCAAUGGCAUAUAUGGCAUAUGAAGCAAACUGUAGUGUUUCCUGCUGCAAAGUAA